RNAcentral lists this ribosomal RNA (489 nucleotides) under uncultured bacterium. RNAcentral describes it as "bacterial SSU rRNA". It matches the Rfam family "Bacterial small subunit ribosomal RNA", at positions 29 to 509 of the family's 1533-position model. The record is from RNAcentral.
AAUGAACGUUAGCGAGAUGUCUUAAGCAUGCAAGUCGAGCGAGAAGCGGUACUUGUACCGCCUAAAGCGGCAAACGGGUGAGUAAUAGCUAGCUAAUCUACCUCUUAGACAGGGAUAGCCAUGGUAAUCAUGAUUAAUACCUGAUAUGAAAAUUCCCUUCAUGGGGGGUUUUUGAAAGGCGCGUUGGUGCCACUAAGAGAUGAGGCUUGCACUUAUUAGCUUGUUGGUGAGGUAAUAGCUCACCAAGGCUUCGAUAGGUAGCCGGCCUGAGAGGGUGUACGGCCACAUUGGGACUGAGAUACGGCCCAGACUCCUACGGGAGGCAGCAGCUAAGAAUUUUUCGCAAUGGAGGAAACUCUGACGGAGCAAUCUCGCGUGAGUGAUGAAGGCCUUCGGGCUGUAAAACUCUUUGAGUGGGAAGGAAUAAUCGGCUAAGAAAUGAGCCGCCUAUGACAGUACCCACAGAAAAGUCCUGGCUAACUACGUGCC